Molecule: unclassified non-coding RNA, 336 nt
Filed under: soil metagenome
Description: partial contains 5.8S ribosomal RNA, internal transcribed spacer 2, and large subunit ribosomal RNA
Rfam family: 5.8S ribosomal RNA (bases 1-120)
Source: RNAcentral
GAUGAAGAACGUAGCGAAAUGCGAUAAGUAAUGCGAAUUGCAGAUUUCAGUGAGUCAUCGAAUCUUUGAACGCACAUUGCGCCCGCCAGUAUUCUGGCGGGCAUGCCUGUUCGAGCGUCAUUUCAACCAUCAAGCCCCCGGGCUUGCGUUGGGGCCCUGCGGCUGCCGCAGGCCCCGAAAAGCAGUGGCGGGCUCGCUGUCACACCGAGCGCAGUAGCGAUUCUCGCUCCGGGCGUCGGCGGCGGGCACCGGCCGUGAAACCCCCCACAUCCACAAGGUUGACCUCGGAUCAGGUAGGAAUACCCGCUGAACUUAAGCAUAUCAAUAAGCGGAGGA